UUUUAGCCCGGAUCGCAGCGUAAAUCCUUUUUUGGUGGCUGAGGCUCCCGAAGCCACCAGAAAAGAUUGCAGCGCAGAGCCGGUACGCCU
Molecule: small RNA, 90 nt
Filed under: Flavobacteriaceae bacterium 3519-10
Lineage: Bacteria; Pseudomonadati; Bacteroidota; Flavobacteriia; Flavobacteriales; Flavobacteriaceae
Description: Flavo-1 RNA
Rfam family: Flavo-1 RNA
Source: Rfam by way of RNAcentral